Molecule: non-coding RNA, 78 nt
Organism: Schistosoma mansoni
Lineage: Eukaryota; Metazoa; Platyhelminthes; Trematoda; Strigeidida; Schistosomatidae
Source: Rfam
AACUUUCUGAAUCCUUGCUGAGAUUCCGUCAGAUACCAACCCAUCACGGCUGGUGAUACUUCCAAGAUGAGUGAAGUG